UACGGAGGAUCCAAGCGUUAUCCGGAUUUAUUGGGUUUAAAGGGUGCGUAGGCGGUUUAAUAAGUCAGUGGUGAAAUCUUGCAGCUUAACUGUAAAAUUGCCAUUGAUACUGCUAGACUUGAGUAUAGUUGAGGUGGGCGGAAUGUGUUGUGUAGCGGUGAAAUGCAUAGAUAUAACACAGAACACCAAUUGCGAAGGCAGCUCACUAAGCUAUAACUGACGCUGAGGCACGAAAGCGUGGGUAGCGAACAGG
RNAcentral lists this non-coding RNA (253 nucleotides) under uncultured bacterium. RNAcentral describes it as "partial 16S ribosomal RNA". It matches the Rfam family "Bacterial small subunit ribosomal RNA", at positions 524 to 776 of the family's 1533-position model. RNAcentral also lists the same sequence under 2 other names. The record is from RNAcentral.